GACAGAGGGUGCAAGCGUCGUUCGGAAUUAUUGGGCGUAAAGCGCGCGUAGGCGGUCUGCAAAGUCGGGUGUGAAAUCCCGGGGCUCAACCCCGGAAGUGCAUUCGAAACUAACAGACUUGAGUCUCGGAGAGGAUGGCGGAAUUCCUGGUGUAGAGGUGAAAUUCGUAGAUAUCAGGAGGAACAUCCGUGGCGAAGGCGGCCAUCUGGACGAUGACUGACGCUGAGGUGCGAAAGCGUGGGGAGCAAACAGG
This 253-nucleotide ribosomal RNA is filed under the name uncultured bacterium. RNAcentral's name for it is "partial 16S ribosomal RNA". It matches the Rfam family "Bacterial small subunit ribosomal RNA", at positions 524 to 776 of the family's 1533-position model. The record is from RNAcentral.